UAUUGCAUUUAAUGUGGGAUAUAGGUGCAUUUUGCUGAAGUAAGAGAACCUGAGACCAACUAAGAUUUUAAGAUGGCUCUGAAGGUACUUGUCUAGUUCAUUAGGUUGCAAUGUUCCUCUUUAUUUGCCUGUUUCUAAUUUUCUAGUCUUCCUCUGCUUUUCUCCAAUCUCAGUUUCUCCACCAAAUAACAUUCUGAUUAUCUCUGCAUGUAUAUAUGUAUUUUAUCAUUUCUAGAAUGAGGAUUUUUCACAUUUCAUCAUCUCUAAAAUUGUGAUGCAUCUUACAAAUUGAUGGAAUAUCUUAUUAGAAGCAUUUUUAUCUUAGCAUUUCAUAAGAUAAUGCUGCAGCUUACGGUGGACAGUGUCUUAGAUCUGAUGGGAUGUAAGAUAUCUGCAUCAGAAGAUAUGAACUUCUUGGAGCUGGCUAGGUGCCUUUUUCUUUUUUCCCAUCUACCUUUGGCUUCGGUUUCUUCUUAAUAAUAUUUGUUUCAUCUUUCUAGUUUAAAAAUCAUUCUGCUCUCUUUGCCCCUUUUUCUCAUUUCUUCUGCCUGCUUUCCUGUUCCCCUUUUUCAUCUCCUCUAUCCUCCUUUGGUUUCUUAAAGUCUGACCAAGUUCCCAGGGCCUUUUCUGAUCAGAGCUCUUUUUUUAAAGGCCUUACAGCCUGAUGGUGGUGCCACCCGACAAGGUGAAUCCCGAGCACUACAUCUUCUCUCCCUUUGGGAUCUUGCAUGUACAUCCUGUGGAAGGUAGCGAGACGAUGACACUGGGUACCUGGCACCAUCACUGUGUUCUCUGGCAGCAGCUCCAGUUCAUUCCAUUCUUUAAGUAUUGCCUCUUACGCAAGUCCUUUACCUGGUAGGUAAUGACGGAUAUGUGAUUUGGGGGGAAAUGGAUGACAGCAACGGUAUAUUAUCACUGACCUCUAAUUUCUAGUUGGAAGAAGAAUGUGAGAUUACAGGGGCUGCAUCGACUCCAGAAAUUCCUAGAGAAUCAUCUGCUCUUGGCUGUGCCCCACUUUGGAGCUGGGCUACUACAUAUUAGCAGGCUUCUGCAGGAGCUACACUCUGUGUCCUGGCUACCCCAGGAGCUGGAUCGGUGCUAUGAGCUGCUGGACCUGCAGAAAGCUCUAGCCAAGGAGAAACAUAAGGCUCUACGGCUGCUCCAUCGUUGCCUAAACCUCUGCACAUCCAUUCUUCGACUGGUUCACGAGGACACAUACCACAUGCAACAGGGCCUACAAGAGCGAGUGCAAAACUGCGAUAGGAUCAGGACAGGCCAAGGCUCCAUAUACCUUCAGAGGGUACAGCGCAAGCAACUGGAGCAGAAGCUGAAGCAAGCAGAGGCCUGGUGGCUGCAGCUGGGAAAGUUUGCCCGCCUGGUCAACUACAUGAUUUGUCAGAGCCUCAUUUCUGUCUUGGAGGAGCAGAUAACCUCUUUUGUGGCCAACAUCAUUCAAGCCCCAAGGCAGAAACCCUUUCUCUCAUCACAGCUAGUCUUUGAUGAUCAUGGCCAACUGUCUCAUGUACCCUGUGUUGAAAAUAUGAUCCAGACUCUAACUGGAGGCCUACAGUCUGUCAAGACCUCUGCCUUGCAGGUAUUCUGGAUUGGGCAGAGAGCUGGCUGUGGGAAUUCCCAGUUCCUAUCCUCUGAGUAAUCAGAAGCUCACAACCUGGUUUGAAUCCCUCAUUGCUUUCCCAUUUCUGCUCCUUCUCCAUAUCCUGGCAUGAAGGUAGUGCAGUCUGCAGACCUGAAGACCUCCUCGGAUUCCCUGUAUUCUGAAGGUAUUUAGGGAGACCUAGGCAGGGGGUAGGAAGGCUGAAGGAGGGAAAGGGCACAAGCACGAAUGGCAUGGGAAGAAGGCAGGAGGUCCAGGCUAUAGAGUCAGGCAUCGGGUGUGGAUGGAGCAGCUCUAACCUGGGUACUGCACAUAUGUGUUAUGGGUAGAAGGGUCAGGGAGUGUUUUUGCUCACAAAUUCACGUGGUUAUGUGUAUGUGCGUGCAAUGAGAGGGUGUAUGAAAGAGUGUGAGUACAUUGUCCUUCCAAACCUGGUUCAUCCAAAACUCUGUGAGGUUUUUCUCCAGUGCCAUAAUUGCAUUUCAUUUACUACUGAAUUUUAUUGCUAAGUAAAUUUGUACUUGUUUGAAGAGCUCUGCUUGCUCAACACUUGCUUUAUGUCAUAUAGCUCUUUUUCAUUUCAUAUGGAUUAAUUCAUCAUAUUGAAAUAUUUUAUGGUUACCAAUUAUUAUUGGUUAUCAAUCUUCACACUUAUUAACCAUCAGCGUGGAAAUACAUCUUCACAUUUCCCUUAUUUAGGAUACUAAUGCUGUCACAAAUAAAAUCAUUAAAUGC
This 2350-nucleotide small RNA is filed under the name Pongo abelii (Sumatran orangutan). RNAcentral describes it as "retained intron". The record is from RNAcentral. Lineage: Eukaryota; Metazoa; Chordata; Mammalia; Primates; Hominidae.